This 749-nucleotide ribosomal RNA is filed under the name Micrococcaceae bacterium. RNAcentral describes it as "bacterial SSU rRNA". It matches the Rfam family "Bacterial small subunit ribosomal RNA", at positions 77 to 837 of the family's 1533-position model. The record is from RNAcentral. Lineage: Bacteria; Bacillati; Actinomycetota; Actinomycetes; Micrococcales; Micrococcaceae.
UACUUGCACCGUGGAUUAGUGGCGAACGGGUGAGUAACACGUGAGUAACCUGCCCUUAACUCUGGGAUAAGCCUGGGAAACUGGGUCUAAUACCGGAUAUGACUCCUCAUCGCAUGGUGGGGGGUGGAAAGCUUUUUGUGGUUUUGGAUGGACUCGCGGCCUAUCAGCUUGUUGGUGAGGUAAUGGCUCACCAAGGCGACGACGGGUAGCCGGCCUGAGAGGGUGACCGGCCACACUGGGACUGAGACACGGCCCAGACUCCUACGGGAGGCAGCAGUGGGGAAUAUUGCACAAUGGGCGCAAGCCUGAUGCAGCGACGCCGCGUGAGGGAUGACGGCCUUCGGGUUGUAAACCUCUUUCAGUAGGGAAGAAGCGAAAGUGACGGUACCUGCAGAAGAAGCGCCGGCUAACUACGUGCCAGCAGCCGCGGUAAUACGUAGGGCGCAAGCGUUAUCCGGAAUUAUUGGGCGUAAAGAGCUCGUAGGCGGUUUGUCGCGUCUGCCGUGAAAGUCCGGGGCUCAACUCCGGAUCUGCGGUGGGUACGGGCAGACUAGAGUGAUGUAGGGGAGACUGGAAUUCCUGGUGUAGCGGUGAAAUGCGCAGAUAUCAGGAGGAACACCGAUGGCGAAGGCAGGUCUCUGGGCAUUAACUGACGCUGAGGAGCGAAAGCAUGGGGAGCGAACAGGAUUAGAUACCCUGGUAGUCCAUGCCGUAAACGUUGGGCACUAGGUGUGGGGGACAUUCCACGU